Molecule: ribosomal RNA, 1664 nt
Filed under: Bacillus sp. PF5
Lineage: Bacteria; Bacillati; Bacillota; Bacilli; Caryophanales; Bacillaceae
Description: bacterial LSU rRNA
Rfam family: Bacterial large subunit ribosomal RNA
Source: RNAcentral
UGCGCCGAAAAUGUACCGGGGCUAAAUACACCACCGAAGCUGCGGAUUGAUACCGAAUGGUAUCAGUGGUAGGGGAGCGUUCUAAGGACAGUGAAGUCAGACCGGAAGGACUGGUGGAGUGCUUAGAAGUGAGAAUGCCGGUAUGAGUAGCGAAAGACGGGUGAGAAUCCCGUCCACCGAAUGCCUAAGGUUUCCUGAGGAAGGCUCGUCCGCUCAGGGUUAGUCAGGACCUAAGCCGAGGCCGACAGGCGUAGGCGAUGGACAACAGGUUGAUAUUCCUGUACCACCUCUUUAUCGUUUGAGCAAUGGAGGGACGCAGAAGGAUAGAAGAAGCGUGCGAUUGGUUGUGCACGUCCAAGCAGUUAGGCUGAUAAGUAGGCAAAUCCGCUUAUCGUGAAGGCUGAGCUGUGAUGGGGAAGCUCCUUAUGGAGCGAAGUCUUUGAUUCCCCGCUGCCAAGAAAAGCUUCUAGCGAGAUAAAAGGUGCCUGUACCGCAAACCGACACAGGUAGGCGAGGAGAGAAUCCUAAGGUGUGCGAGAGAACUCUGGUUAAGGAACUCGGCAAAAUGACCCCGUAACUUCGGGAGAAGGGGUGCUUUCUUAACGGAAAGCCGCAGUGAAUAGGCCCAAGCGACUGUUUAGCAAAAACACAGCUCUCUGCGAAGCCGUAAGGCGAAGUAUAGGGGGUGACACCUGCCCGGUGCUGGAAGGUUAAGGAGAGGGGUUAGCGUAAGCGAAGCUCUGAACUGAAGCCCCAGUAAACGGCGGCCGUAACUAUAACGGUCCUAAGGUAGCGAAAUUCCUUGUCGGGUAAGUUCCGACCCGCACGAAAGGUGUAACGAUUUGGGCACUGUCUCAACCAGAGACUCGGUGAAAUUAUAGUACCUGUGAAGAUGCAGGUUACCCGCGACAGGACGGAAAGACCCCGUGGAGCUUUACUGUAGCCUGAUAUUGAAUUUUGGUACAGUUUGUACAGGAUAGGCGGGAGCCAUUGAAACCGGAGCGCUAGCUUCGGUGGAGGCGCUGGUGGGAUACCGCCCUGACUGUAUUGAAAUUCUAACCUACGGGUCUUAUCGACCCGGGAGACAGUGUCAGGUGGGCAGUUUGACUGGGGCGGUCGCCUCCUAAAGUGUAACGGAGGCGCCCAAAGGUUCCCUCAGAAUGGUUGGAAAUCAUUCGUAGAGUGCAAAGGCAUAAGGGAGCUUGACUGCGAGACCUACAAGUCGAGCAGGGACGAAAGUCGGGCUUAGUGAUCCGGUGGUUCCGCAUGGAAGGGCCAUCGCUCAACGGAUAAAAGCUACCCCGGGGAUAACAGGCUUAUCUCCCCCAAGAGUCCACAUCGACGGGGAGGUUUGGCACCUCGAUGUCGGCUCAUCGCAUCCUGGGGCUGUAGUCGGUCCCAAGGGUUGGGCUGUUCGCCCAUUAAAGCGGUACGCGAGCUGGGUUCAGAACGUCGUGAGACAGUUCGGUCCCUAUCCGUCGUGGGCGUAGGAAAUUUGAGAGGAGCUGUCCUUAGUACGAGAGGACCGGGAUGGACGCACCGCUGGUGUACCAGUUGUUCUGCCAAGGGCAUAGCUGGGUAGCUAUGUGCGGAAGGGAUAAGUGCUGAAAGCAUCUAAGCAUGAAGCCCCCCUCAAGAUGAGAUUUCCCAUAGCGUAAGCUAGU